This 290-nucleotide ribosomal RNA is filed under the name uncultured bacterium. RNAcentral describes it as "partial 16S ribosomal RNA". It matches the Rfam family "Bacterial small subunit ribosomal RNA", at positions 355 to 662 of the family's 1533-position model. The record is from RNAcentral.
UGGGGAAUAUUGGACAAUGGGGGCAACCCUGAUCCAGCAAUGCCGCGUGUGUGAAGAAGGUCUUCGGAUUGUAAAGCACUUUCGACGGGGACGAUGAUGACGGUACCCGUAGAAGAAGCCCCGGCUAACUUCGUGCCAGCAGCCGCGGUAAUACGAAGGGGGCUAGCGUUGCUCGGAAUGACUGGGCGUAAAGGGCGUGUAGGCGGUUUACACAGUCAGAUGUGAAAUCCCCGGGCUUAACCUGGGAGCUGCAUUUGAUACGUGUAGACUAGAGUGUGAGAGAGGGGUUU